Potamilus streckersoni is the source of this 75-nucleotide non-coding RNA. The record is from the annotation of a GenBank genome assembly. NCBI's taxonomy places the organism in Eukaryota, Metazoa, Mollusca, Bivalvia, Unionida, Unionidae.
GAAGUGCCUUGGCUAAGUGGUUAGCAUGCUUCACUUUUAAUGGAAAGGGCACUGGUUCGAAUCCUAUCAUGAUCA